Long non-coding RNA from Patiria miniata (bat star), 223 nucleotides. RefSeq lists it as uncharacterized. The transcript has 3 exons. The record is from RefSeq and is a predicted model, not a curated record. Lineage: Eukaryota; Metazoa; Echinodermata; Asteroidea; Valvatida; Asterinidae.
ACUGAACUUCUGAUUCGUUUGUACAGGUUUCUGUGCUUGGCCACGUUACAGUGCCGUCAUCCAGCCUUCAAGCAUGGUUCAGAAGCCAUGAACCACAAAUCAGCAUGUUUCCUUCCAGUUUCCAAUGAGCACUCUGACAGCAUCACUUAGCAUGCCAGUAUUCAACAUUGUGCAGAUCAUCUCUGUAAAGAUGGCUGUGUUGCUUCAGUUGCCACAUUUCUAC